RNAcentral lists this ribosomal RNA (324 nucleotides) under uncultured eukaryote. Its description in RNAcentral is "partial 18S ribosomal RNA". It matches the Rfam family "Eukaryotic small subunit ribosomal RNA", at positions 1470 to 1796 of the family's 1831-position model. The record is from RNAcentral.
CCCUUAGAUGUUCUGGGCCGCACGCGUGCUACACUGAGUAAUUCAAUGGGUAAGGGAACGCUAGAGCAUUACCUAAUCUUGAAAUUUGCUCGUGAUGGGGAUCGACGGUUGCAAUUUUCCGUCGUGAACGAGGAAUACCUUGUAGGCGCAUGUCAUCAUCAUGCGCCGAAUACGUCCCUGCCCUUUGUACACACCGCCCGUCGCUCCUACCGAUUGAAUGAUCCGAUGAAUACCAUGGAUUGAGAGUACGAAUAGGUUCGCUUAUUUCUGCUGCUCGAGAAGUGGAGUAAAUCUUAUCAUUUAGAGGAAGGAGAAGUCGUAACA